CCGCUGCCUUUGUUGUUGUUGCCUGGAGGAUAAUAUGAAAAUGUUCACUGUGUGGAAGGACAAAAAAGAAGUUGUGGCAACAACAGCUAUUCUACUGAGACUUCAUACGUGGAGAAGCCAAACACACACAAUGGAGAGAGACACGCUGUGGCCAAAACAAGGAGGGAUGCCACUUAGCUGUACAACCAACCACACUCCUGCUCAGGUGGGGGUAAACUAACCUAAUGACCUCAGCCAGCAUUACUUAUUUG
Long non-coding RNA from Monopterus albus (swamp eel), 251 nucleotides. RefSeq lists it as uncharacterized. NCBI's taxonomy places the organism in Eukaryota, Metazoa, Chordata, Actinopteri, Synbranchiformes, Synbranchidae. The record is from RefSeq and is a predicted model, not a curated record. The transcript has 3 exons.